CUCUGGGUGGUGCAAAUGGUUAACACCCUUGGCUGCUAACCAAAACGCUGGAGGUUCAACUCCGCCCAGAGG
Molecule: transfer RNA, 72 nt
Filed under: Loxodonta africana (African savanna elephant)
Lineage: Eukaryota; Metazoa; Chordata; Mammalia; Proboscidea; Elephantidae
Rfam family: tRNA
About the family: Transfer RNA (tRNA) molecules are approximately 80 nucleotides in length. Their secondary structure includes four short double-helical elements and three loops (D, anti-codon, and T loops).
Source: Rfam by way of RNAcentral